CUGAUAGAUUGCUCACAUUUAUUGGUUCGAAGAACAAGAAAUUUCUUUUUCAGGUAAAAGUCCAGAGAGGGUGUUCAUAUCAGUAGAUAGGCUCUCCUCCAUACGGACACUAAGGUGUCAGGACUUCGUCAUCUUCAACCCAUGGCUCCAAGGUUGGUGUGGGCAUCACAACAUCCCAGUCAACCAAAAGGGACAAAGACCAUAAGGAAGCACUUGUGAGGGAAUUUUAUAGAUAGUCCCAGACUUGCCAGAAGUCACUUAUGCUCAGAUUCUACUGGGGAGAACUGAGCUAUGUGGCCUCAGCUACCUAUAAGAGAGGCUGGGAAAUCUAGUCUAGCUGGUGCCCAAGAAGGCAAGAAGGGAUAUUACUGUAGUCAGAGGCCUCUGCUACAAUAUGUAUGCUCCACAUUUAUUUGUAGAGCAGUUUCAUGGCUCUGAUUAGGUUGUCAAAGUGGUCUACACCCAAAAAUGUUUCAGAGCCUCCUGUACCACUAGUACUGCUGCUUUUACCUUGCUCUCUACAAGGUGUAAGGGCUAUGAAGUCAAAACAACAGAGAUGACAAAAUACGCCUGACUUAGGAAAACCCUCUGCCCUACUUCUGCCCAGGGCGGCCCAGGGCUGUUCAUAUCCCUUGGAAUACCCUUUGCAGGGCUUGAAGCAGACGUCAUAUCGACUACCAGAACUCACAGGAUCCAGCAUAUUGGAAUCAAAUUUUUUUGAAAGAAAAGACAUCUGUUUAUGGUUUGUAGUUUUUGUGCUUUGUGUAAGGACUUCUUCUCUACCCUGAAAUGAUGAAGAUAUUCUGAAAAUCUGGAGGUUUUGCCUUGCUAGUAAGAUCAUUAAGAACGUACUUUUGUUUACAGUGUGAGGUAGGGAUCUCAUUUUUAAAAAUAUAGAAAAGAGAGUGCUAAUUAUCUCAGCACCAUUAAUUAAACAGAUCAUCUUUGAUUAAUUUGCAUUGACUUAUCUGUCAUUUGUAUGUAUGGUUCUGUUUCUGAACCUACUAUUUUCUUUCACUAGAUUAUUGAAUGACAUAAUAGACCUUGCAGGUCUAUGCGGUUCUGUUUUGGAACCUGCUUUUUUUGUUCAUUAGAUUAUAGACCAAUCACUGUACCAAUACCACAUUCUUACAAUAUGAAGCUUUUGAUAUCAAAAGGGAAAAUUUUCCCUCCCUAUGCUUCUCCAGAAUUGUCUUGGUCAUUCUUGGCCUCUUCUAAUUCCUCAUGAAUUUUGGAAUCACUUUGUCAGGGUCUAUGAAAGAUCCUAUAUUAUAAUUUGGAGUAAAUUGUUUUGGGGUCAUGGAAUCUUCUCAUCCAUGAACAUGAUGUAUCUCUCCAUUUAUUUAGGCUUUUCUCUGUAUUUCAAUAAGGCUUUAUAAUUUUCACCACAGAUACUAUGAGUUUUUAUUCAAGUUCUAAGAUUGGUUGCUACUAUGAAUGAGACCUUUAAGAAUUUAUAAUAUCUAAUGGGCUAUGGCUUCUUUGUAUAUUGACCUUUUAUUCAACAAUGCUGCUAAGCUCUCUUAUUUGUUCUAUUAAUUCAUUAGAUUUGCUUGAAUUUCUUAGCAGAUAACUACAUCAUCAAUAAAUCAUAUUUUCUUGUUUUUUUUGACCCUUAUAGCUUCUCAUUUGUGUGUGUGUGUGUGUGUGUUAUUGGCAAGGGGCUUCAGUACAAUGCUGAGUAGAAAUGGUAAAGAUGGUAAAGCUGUCCUUAAUGUUUAAUGAAUUAAGAUUAAGAAUAAUGUUUCUAGAAAUAGGUUAUUGGUAGCAACUCUUUAUUGUAUUUAGGACAUUUCUUCCUUUCCUAGUUUGCUAGGAUUUAAAAAAAAAUAAAUGAAUGGCAAAUUCCUUUGUAUUUUCUAAUAUUAAAUCGUCCUUAUAUUAUGGUGUCAAACUGAUGUGCUUAUGAAGUAUAUAUUUUUAAAACCCAUGCUGAACUGGGUUGAAUAACAUUGUAUUUAAGAAUAACAUUUUUUAAUGCCUUUUGAGAUUGGCUAAUAAUUUUCCUUUCUACAUUUUUUUCUGAUUUUAGUAUUAAGAUUUUAUUAGCUCAUAAAAUCAUCGAGAUGCUUUCCUUCUUAUCUUUGAACCAUUUGAAAUAGAGAGUGUCUAUGAAGAUUUCAUAAACCUUUCUCACUAAAUCUUUGAGCUUUCUUAUAGGUAGAUUUAGAAAUGGGAAUUCAGUUUAUUUAAUGGUUAUAAAUAUAUUCAUGUUUUAAAUUUUUUGAAUCAAUAGUUUUUAUAAUUUAUAUUUGGUAAGAAAUAUUUAUUUUCACUAAGUUUUUAAUGUUCAGAAAGGAUGUAUUACUAUACUAUUCUCUUAGAAUUAAAAAAAUUCUACUGAAACUAUAAUUAUAGUCUCAUUCAUAGUCUUAUUUUUUCCUCCACUAUGUAUUUUUUUUAGCAAUUUACCUCUUUUUAUUUUUGUUUUAUGACCCUUUCUAUGACUUCUUUGUAUAAAGGUCUAUUGCUAGCUCUAAAAUUAUACAUGUAACACAUGUUUUUUUUUCUUCUUCAUUUGCUUUUUUCUUCUCCUUUUGUUUUCUAGCAAAGCCUUUUUUACUUGGGUGAGGAAGACCACGGGAAAGCAAUUGCUAGGCCUUGAUUGCUUCACACUACCUAGAUUAUUUGUGCAGAAAUGUGUGGUGAGAAGCAGGUGAGCACAGAGGCACCACAUUGAGGGUUUUCAUUUCAUUGCAAGGUAGCCCUCACACUAGGCUGCUGGGCACACAAUCCCAAUGUCUCCUCCCCAUUCCUGGAGUCUCCUUAUGCACUUCUACCCUCAAGAGCAUUUUGUUUUGUUUUGUUUUCUAUUUUUGUUUUUGUUUUAACUAAAUUGGGCUGCCUCACCCA
RNAcentral lists this long non-coding RNA (2853 nucleotides) under Canis lupus familiaris (dog). Its description in RNAcentral is "lncRNA (ENSCAFG00845005283.1)". Lineage: Eukaryota; Metazoa; Chordata; Mammalia; Carnivora; Canidae. The record is from RNAcentral.